Molecule: long non-coding RNA, 818 nt
Filed under: Canis lupus familiaris (dog)
Lineage: Eukaryota; Metazoa; Chordata; Mammalia; Carnivora; Canidae
Description: lncRNA (ENSCAFG00845021146.1)
Source: RNAcentral
AACCUACUAGGAGUUAUAUGAGCAUUAAUGAUAGGCGUUGAGACUUGAUACUUCUCAGAGAUACUGAAAAAUCUGGAAAAAGGUAAAUUUAUUUUUAUUAAUUUUUUUUAAAGAACAGUGUCCAAAAGAAUAAAAUCACAAGGUCAAAGAAUAAAUUGGAGUUGACAUGUUCAGCCAGGAAUGACAAAGCAAAAUGCUAUUCACAAAGAUGUCUGCCCCUGAGUUCCUGGCUCUGCUGAAUGCAAGUUUGGUGUCUGAAGAAUAAAAAUCAAUUUCCUGAAAGAACAAUGUGUAAAAGAGUGUGUCAUUUCAAAGUAUUAUGAAGAAUUCUGAAAUUCUGGCCCAUAAAUGCAUGCUUUAAAACAAAAAGGAGGGAACUGAGAUGUCUCAGGAUGGACAAGGCUUGAAGUUUGUUCUCUGUAGUUGCUGCCAGGUUUCUGGGAAUCCAUGGAAAUGGGAGGUGAGGGGCAAAGAAAUGUCUAAAUGAUUGGAGAUGAAUCUUCAGUAGCACGAAUAAAGGCUAAAGGUCCUUGUUUGCUUAUUCUGGCUUAACAACCUACUCACAUAUUAGUACAGUCUUAAGAUUUUCAAGGCUAGUGCUUUAUAAUUUGUUGUAUUAUUCUUUUGUAAUGUAAAAUAACUUUUACAUUUUUUCCUUUAAGAAGUUAGUCUGUGAUAACUGGUGAUAGGUUAAUUCUUGAUUUUGUGUGAGUGAGUCAGAAAUGCACAGGGAUCAAGUAGAUCUUACAUGGUUGCAUUUGAGAAAGGCUAUUCAGAACCAGGGAAGAGUCAUGAUGAAUCAGUGAAAACAGGCCAAG